AUGAAAGCAGUUAAGAUUGGGUACAAAUGGUCGGUAGGAAAUGGUAGAUCCAUCCUAUUUUGGGAAGAUAUCUGGUUCGGUAAUGCUUCUCUUGCCACACAAUUCUGGGAUUUGUAUUGCAUUACUAAUAAUAAGACCAAAACCAUAGCAGAAACCUGGGAUGGGAAUACUCUUAGAAUUUCCUUUAGAAGAAAUUUUGAUGAAGAGCUUAUGCAUCAGUGGUUUGACUCGGAAACGAUUGCUCAAUCAAUAGCCUUUGUUGACCAGGAUGAUAGUAUGAUUUGGCAAUAUGAACCAAAAUGCAUUUACUCUUCUAAAUCCUUAUAUGCUAUUGUAAACUUUAGGGGGAUACAACCCAUCUACACACCUACUGUGUGGAACCUGAAGGUCCCACCUAGAAUACAGGAGUUUCUAUGGCUCUUCUCUCAGAACAAAAUUAUGACAUGUGGUAAUCUGAGGAAAAGAGGCAUUCCAAAACCCCUGGAAUGUGUACAUUGCAGCGAAAUAGAAUCGGUUCACCACUUUUUUUUUUUGACUACGUGGUAG
Molecule: ribosomal RNA, 546 nt
Filed under: Triticum aestivum (bread wheat)
Lineage: Eukaryota; Viridiplantae; Streptophyta; Magnoliopsida; Poales; Poaceae
Description: partial small subunit ribosomal RNA
Source: RNAcentral